GAUCGCGACUCAAGCGCUCCGAGCACACUCUUGAGAGUGCCUCGCACACUACGUCCACCAUUCUUCCCCCUCCCGCCCCUCCCCUCUCCCACUCUCUUUGCGAACACGCUAUUUCUCGUACCAACUACGACGCAAAGAUCGAGCCUCGUUCGCUUCCAAAGGCACGUCUUUCGAGGAGAAAAACUUGCGAAGAAAUAUACCAUAUCGACGGAACUGAAGCAGAUGCAUGACGAAAAAAACCGCAUACGCAUUUUUUUCUCCGUCUGAAGCGUAAACCGUUGGACUACGUCAAGCACGAUAGCACUAUUUCGUACUAAUGAGCAAUUAUGACGUAUCAUAAUCGCGUCAUUCGUAUAGAAAUAAACGAUUGCUGUAUCACUCUCAUAUGUAAUCGGCUUAUAUCUCGGGAUAUAUUUGAUGUGAUUACUUUUAAUUUUCAUUAUCGUGAUCCCGUAUCUCUCCGACAAAUCGCUUUGCUCCUGUCACCAUUUUGUCUCGCGAUAUACAAAUGUUAAUAAACUGCCGGCUGCGUGAUCUCCUAAUUGCAUUGUGGCAAUAGCUGCUCGCGCGUAGCGAGUUUCGAAUUCGCCGACUGAUAAAGUUCCCCCGAGACGAAUUCGAUCGAGCGGCAAACGCGCAUGAAAACGAGACAUUUUCGCAGGGUGGAAAAUA
Long non-coding RNA from Venturia canescens, 672 nucleotides. RefSeq lists it as uncharacterized. The record is from RefSeq and is a predicted model, not a curated record. NCBI's taxonomy places the organism in Eukaryota, Metazoa, Arthropoda, Insecta, Hymenoptera, Ichneumonidae. The transcript is spliced from 2 exons.